CAGAGCGAACGCUGGCGGCAGGCCUAACACAUGCAAGUCGAACGGACCCUUCGGGGUUAGUGGCGGACGGGUGAGUAACACGUGGGAACGUGCCUUUUGGUUCGGAAUAGCUCCUGGAAACGGGUGGUAAUGCCGAAUGUGCCCUUCGGGGGAAAGAUUUAUCGCCAUUAGAGCGGCCCGCGUCUGAUUAGCUUA
This 195-nucleotide ribosomal RNA is filed under the name uncultured soil bacterium. RNAcentral's name for it is "partial 16S ribosomal RNA". It matches the Rfam family "Bacterial small subunit ribosomal RNA", at positions 25 to 248 of the family's 1533-position model. The record is from RNAcentral.